GAUGAAGAACGCAGCGAAAUGCGAUAAGUAAUGUGAAUUGCAGAAUUCAGUGAAUCAUCGAAUCUUUGAACGCACAUUGCGCCCUCUGGUAUUCCGGGGGGCAUGCCUGUUCGAGCGUCAUUAUAACCACUCAAGCUCUCGCUUGGUAUUGGGGUUCGCGGUUCCGCGGUCCCUAAAAUCAGUGGCGGUGCCUGUCGGCUCUACGCGUAGUAAUACUCCUCGCGAUUGAGUCCGGUAGGUCUACUUGCCAGCAACCCCCAAUUUUUACAGGUUGACCUCGGAUCAGGUAGGGAUACCCGCUGAACUUAAGCAUAUCAAUAAGCGGAGGA
This 329-nucleotide unclassified non-coding RNA is filed under the name soil metagenome. Its description in RNAcentral is "partial contains 5.8S ribosomal RNA, internal transcribed spacer 2, and large subunit ribosomal RNA". The stretch from base 1 to 120 matches the Rfam family "5.8S ribosomal RNA", at positions 35 to 154 of the family's 154-position model. The record is from RNAcentral.